GAGGCCCUGAGGAAAGGGCAAAGAGGAUGCUGGAGCCACGAGGAAGUGGCCAGAGAAUUUGCUGCAGUAGCCACUAAGGAAAGUGGCUGAACAGCAGACUGCAGGUCCCCUGGAAGGUGGCGGGAGGGGAAGCACAGUGUGUGGCAUGGCCCGAGGGCUGUGUCGCUGAAGAGGACAUUGCGGUCCUUGGAGAGACAUGGGUCCUAGCGCAGGAGUGAUGGUGGUGAGGCACCACCUGAAGAGGGUGCACUAACAUGCAGAGCUUAUCCACAAGACAGCCAGAAGGAGGUGCCAGAGUGUGAUACACAUCACAUCCUCAUGCCUCAUCUACAGUACAACACAUCCCUACUACUGCAGUCCUGGAGACUUCAUGCAGAUCUGCCUGCAAUGGGUUUAAAAUGUACACAGCUAGAGAUAAAUUUGAGAUGAUCAGUGCCAUUAGAUUUGUGAUUUCAGCCAGGGCAUGAACUCUUGUCUUCCAAAAUGAAAAAGAGCCAUGUUUCCUAUCCUCCCCCUGCAUCAGCUGCUACCAUAGCUAUAUACAUGACAAUGGUGGAAGUCAAUAUCCGUUCAGGCUGCUUCACGUGAUGGUUUGUGGGAAAGAAUCCAGAGGUGCAGAAUCCAAG
Mauremys mutica (yellowpond turtle) is the source of this 626-nucleotide long non-coding RNA. RefSeq lists it as uncharacterized. NCBI's taxonomy places the organism in Eukaryota, Metazoa, Chordata, Testudines, Geoemydidae. The transcript is spliced from 3 exons. The record is from RefSeq and is a predicted model, not a curated record.